GACGAACGCUGGCGGCGUGCCUAAUACAUGCCAGUAGAACGCUGAAGAGAGGAGCUUGCUCUUCUUGGAUGAGUUGCGAACGGGUGAGUAACGCGUAGGUAACCUGCCUUGUAGCGGGGGAUAACUAUUGGAAACGAUAGCUAAUACCGCAUAACAAUGGAUGACACAUGUCAUUUAUUUGAAAGGGGCAAUUGCUCCACUACAAGAUGGACCUGCGUUGUAUUAGCUAGUAGGUGAGGUAAUGGCUCACCUAGGCGACGAUACAUAGCCGACCUGAGAGGGUGAUCGGCCACACUGGGACUGAGACACGGCCCAGACUCCUACGGGAGGCAGCAGUAGGGAAUCUUCGGCAAUGGGGGCAACCCUGACCGAGCAACGCCGCGGGAGUGAAGAAGGUUUUCGGAUCGUAAAGCUCUGUUGUAAGUCAAGAACGGGUGUGAGAGUGGAAAGUUCACACUGUGACGGUAGCUUACCAGAAAGGGACGGCUAACUACGUG
RNAcentral lists this ribosomal RNA (497 nucleotides) under uncultured bacterium. RNAcentral describes it as "partial 16S ribosomal RNA". It matches the Rfam family "Bacterial small subunit ribosomal RNA", at positions 28 to 507 of the family's 1533-position model. The record is from RNAcentral.